GGGCCUGAGGUCAGUGGCAGAGCUUCUGCCUUGUGAGCAGGAGGCCCCUGGGUUCAAUCCCCAAUGGCAUCUCCA
Molecule: non-coding RNA, 75 nt
Organism: Podarcis lilfordi (Lilford's wall lizard)
Lineage: Eukaryota; Metazoa; Chordata; Lepidosauria; Squamata; Lacertidae
Source: the annotation of a GenBank genome assembly